RNAcentral lists this ribosomal RNA (460 nucleotides) under uncultured bacterium. RNAcentral describes it as "partial 16S ribosomal RNA". It matches the Rfam family "Bacterial small subunit ribosomal RNA", at positions 338 to 795 of the family's 1533-position model. The record is from RNAcentral.
CCUACGGGGGGCAGCAGUGAGGAAUAUUGGUCAAUGGACGAGAGUCUGAACCAGCCAAGUAGCGUGAAGGAUGACUGUCCUAUGGGUUGUAAACCUCUUUUAUAAGGGAAUAAAGAGAGGCACGCGUGCCUUUUUGCAUGUACUUUAUGAAUACGGAUCGGCUAACUCCGUGCCAGCAGCCGCGGUAAUACGGAGGAUCCGAGCGUUAUCCGGAUUUAUUGGGUUUAAAGGGAGGGGAGGUGGGUUGUUAAGUCAGUUGUGAAAGUUUGCGGCUCAACCGUAAAAUUGCAGUUGAAACUGGCAGUCUUGAGUAAAGGAGAGGUAGGCGGAAUGCGUGGUGUAGCGGUGAAAUGCGUAGAUAUCACGAAGAACCCCGAUUGCGAAGGCAGCGUACUGACCCGUGACUGACACUGAUGCUCGAAAGUGUGGGUAUCAAACAGGAUUAGAUACCCUAGUAGUC